UAUUUAUUAAAAAAUGAUAUAAUAUAUUAUAUAGUAAAGAAGAAACCUGUCGAGAGCACAGACUAAUGCCUUCGUGGACAGUAAAUACUCUAAAUUCGUAUCUGGGAUUUUCGAAUCGAAGAGCUUUGCACUUGACAAGGAGACUGGCAAGAAAUGCGUCACACUACCGGCCCGGAAGCUCAAUAUUGCUUGGAAAAAUGGUCCACAACACUGGCAAUGGAUAACUUUACCUGAAUCAAGAUUUUGGAAGGUGGCACGAGUCCAGGGUGUUUGUUGGCUUGAAAUUUGGGGCAACAUAAAGACUGGAAUUGUAACAACCCACAUUUAUGUCUUAGUCAUGUUCAUGAACAUUUGUAUGAUUACGACUCGUUAAGCUUGCAUUUGUAUGUUUGUGACUUGUUUUGCCUAAGUAAGAUUCAUGCCUUGU
Camellia sinensis is the source of this 427-nucleotide non-coding RNA. The record is from RefSeq and is a predicted model, not a curated record. Lineage: Eukaryota; Viridiplantae; Streptophyta; Magnoliopsida; Ericales; Theaceae.